Molecule: long non-coding RNA, 1501 nt
Organism: Notothenia coriiceps (black rockcod)
Lineage: Eukaryota; Metazoa; Chordata; Actinopteri; Perciformes; Nototheniidae
Exons: 2
Source: RefSeq, a predicted model, not a curated record
AUUCAAGAGUGAACCAUUGUAUCUCUCUUUUGGGAAAAGAUGAUGUAAACCACACACCAUGUGACAAUGUAAUGAAUAAUACAGUGGAUGGGGAGAGAAAGGGAGAGAAAGGGGGGACGCAAACACAGUCAAGGUUUGAUGAGAGAAGAGAAGGAGGGUCAUAUAUUAUCAAGACGUAUAGAGAGACUUGUUGUUCUUUCAGGGAAAGAUGUGCUGGCUACCGAUAGACCAGCUUUUGCUCCAGCCUGGUGACACCACCUGCAAUGCCCGCCUACCCUCACCGUGCUCGGUGGCUCAGCUAUUGGCUUCUCGCCUGCGGAGGAUCGGGGACCAGCUGGAGAAAAGCUGGACGGACGGGGAGACGGAAAGCGGCAUUAGCUGUUGCAGAAAGACGGUUAAGGUGACUGGGAAAGGACACCUGAAGAGCUUUCUGUACACUGCUAUACACCUCACCGUGCUCGUGCUAGUCGUCGCGAGGCGACACCUGUAGAGCGCGAGGCGGGCACAGUAGCAACAGAUGGUGCCUUUAGGAGUACCAUACGAGGAACGGCUAACAUCAUUUGCACUGAAAGCAAGGAUGCAGGAGUCUGAGGAGGCGGUCAUGAAUGGAGGUGUGCAGCGAAUAUGACCCACAAAGGGAGAGGAAGCAGCGGAUUUAAAAGCGUGUUUCAGGGUCGGAACUUUAAGACUGAAUAAACUCAAUGUGUCAUGAAGACUUCCUUAGGCCAUGGCAGUUUUAUAACGAGCUGACAGUGACACACUGAACCCUCAGCAAGCCCGUCCUGCACCCAUGUGCCUCUCCGACUCUGUCAUCUCAGUUACAAAACGGUGAUGUAAUGCUCCCCUGGUGGUGUGCAGGGAAAAUCUUACGAAUACAACUAAUUUGACUUCCACCGCACCCACCACGAUGUGAGUGCACAAUGACAGAGGUUAGACUGAUUCAACAUUCAAAUGUAUGUUAAGCUACAGUUAAGGCUAAGUUAAAUAAGCUAAGUGUAAAAAUGUAAAUACUGAGAGGAUGAAUGUUUUUAUAGAUGUUUUCUACAGUGUUUAGAUGAUGUUUAAACAUUCUUCUGUGCUUUAUUAUAAUUAUCAGUUGGGGGCAGUGUUAAGUGGCUUUUUGUCUUAAAGAUACAGGACCUUUUCAUAGGAAGCUAUGCUGUUAAUGCUGUCUGUGAUACUGGAAAUAAGCUUUCUCUGAUAUAUCAAGUGUAAUGUGAGCAGCAUUUCUGGAACUGUCUUUUAUAAAGUGUGUGUUAUUUAUACUAAUUAAAUAUUUCAUAUGGAUUUUUAAUAAUUGAUAAUAAAAUGUUUCUGAAGUAAAUUGUCUGCAGGUGUCAUUACAAAAAAACAAGAAAUACACUUGACAAAGUAAGCUAAAGUGCUUUAAUUUAAAUCUGAAAAACCUGCAAUGCAUUUUGCAUUAAAGUCAUGUGGUAUACAAUGCAACCCAAGGAUGAAUUGUUCUAAAUGUAAUGAUUCAAAAUAAAAAUAUUCAAAA